Molecule: ribosomal RNA, 456 nt
Filed under: Triticum aestivum (bread wheat)
Lineage: Eukaryota; Viridiplantae; Streptophyta; Magnoliopsida; Poales; Poaceae
Description: partial small subunit ribosomal RNA
Source: RNAcentral
AUGAGAUCGACACAAGGCUUUCGCCUUAAGCAAACCAUCCCAAUCAACUCCGCCGAAGUUGUCACUGAGUCCAGCAGCUCGAGACCUCCCCACCCUCCUACCAGUCCACGGCGAGCGUCCUCGCUAGGACUAGCACGAGGCUUCGGUGACGCAGACACUCAUCUCGAGCACCCGCAUAGCCGAAGUCAGCUCGGUGUCAGCUGCAGCCCGCAUCCAAGCCCUCGCCGCCGGCCACACCCCACCACCAGCACAUACAGCCACCAGGACCCUCCCCAUCCACAACCAAAGCAGAGCAGCCCCUGUAACCAAGCCAAAUCUGAGCUCCACAAGAACCAACACCGCCGACUACCAGCCAAACCUCCUCCACGAGCCACACAACCACCACCUCCAACACGCCCCCAUCCACCCAGCCGUGGCUACUGGCCGGAGCCGGCCGAGUCGAGCUGCUGCCUUUGA